This is an RNA transcript of Phalaenopsis equestris, 2617 nucleotides long. It is a transcript of the gene named SEC1 family transport protein SLY1-like, with no coding region annotated. The record is from RefSeq and is a predicted model, not a curated record. NCBI's taxonomy places the organism in Eukaryota, Viridiplantae, Streptophyta, Magnoliopsida, Asparagales, Orchidaceae. The transcript has 3 exons.
ACAACGAACAAAUAUGUAUAGCGAAGGAGCUGAUCACGAGCUUCUUUCGUUCUGACAGCCCUACCGAAAAAGUCGAGAUAUAGUCGCAAAUCGCAAUUAGAGCUAACUGAGGAAGGCAACGGCGGGAUAUCGGCGUACAGAGGUCCGAAACGCCCAUCUUUCCUCUCCUUCCCCACUGCUCCUACCCGAAACCAUGUAGGCAGGUGAAGAAGGAUGGUAACUUCACAUCUUUUUCGCGCUGAUCGCCCGUCCCGGAUUUACUAAAUCUAUGAUUUACUGCCGAAAUCAGUAAACUCCGGAUUUAUGAAAUUAGCGGGUUUAGUUUGUCCAUAUUGACCGUCUGGCAGGAUUUAGGUCAAAUCCAGGUUAAAUCCCGCUCUAAAUCCCUUACCAGACAGCCCCGAAGUGUUUUGUUUUUCUCCUCAACCAUAACCCUAGAGCAGUCUUUACUUUGCCUGUCGGCAUCCAUGGCGCUGAAUCUACGGCAGAAACAAACAAGCUGCAUCAUCAGAAUGCUGAAUCUGAAUCAGCAGCCAAAUUCGGCCUUCGCCGGCUCCGCCACCGAGGAGGUCUACAAGAUCCUCAUUCUCGAUCGAUUCUGUCGCGAUAUACUCUCUCCAUUGAUCCGUGUCAAGGACCUCCGUAAGCACGGGAUCACUCUCUAUUUUGUCAUAGAUAAACAACGACAGACCGUCCCCGACGUCCCAGCGAUCUACUUUGUCCAACCCACACCGGCCAACAUCAGCCGGAUCGUGGAAGACGCCUCUCGCUGCCUUUACGAGAGUUUCCACCUCAACUUCUCCUCUUCCCUUCCUCGACCCCUUCUUGAGGAGCUCGCUGCCGGGUCUCUCAAGGCUGAUUCCGUCAGUCGGAUCUCCAAAGUCUAUGAUCAGUAUCUGGAAUUUGUGACUCUAGAGGAAAACCUCUUCUCUUUAGCGCAGCCCGAUAUCUACGUCCAGCUCAAUGAUCCUGCCGCUGGAGACCAGGAAAUCGAAGGCAUCGUGGAGAAGAUAGCCGGUGGGUUAUUCUGUGUUCUUGUUACGCUUGGUGUCGUGCCUGUCAUCCGGUGCGCAAGUGGUGGCCCUGCCCAGAUGGUUGCCGCUGCCCUUGACACGCGUUUGCGUGACCACUUAGUUACAAAGAACAAUCUUUUCUCUGAAAGUGGAAACCUUAUUAGUUCAUUCCAGAGACCUGUGCUCUGUUUAUUUGAUCGAAAUUUUGAGUUGGCAGUUGCGUUGCAACAUGACUGGAGCUACCGGUCACUGGUGCAUGAUGUCUUUGAUAUGAAGCUCAAUAGGAUCAGUGUACAGGGGGAGAAAUCUCAAGUAAAAUCCUAUGAAUUGGAUGAUUCAGAUCCGUUCUGGGUUUCUAACAGUUGGUCUCCUUUUGAGAAGAUUGCACUAGAAAUUGAUAGUCAGCUGAACAAAUAUAAGCAGGAUGUGGAGGAGGUGAACCGGCGUACAGGUGGGCAAAAAGGGGCUGAAUUUGAUGGCACCGAUUUGAUUGGAAACACAAAGCACCUGAUGAAUGCUGUUAAUUCACUUCCGGAGCUUACUGAGAGGAAGAAGGUGAUUGACAAGCACACAAAUUUAGCCACAGUGCUGUUGGGUGAGAUCAAGAAUAGGGCUUUGGAUUCUUUUUGUAGUUUAGAAAGUGAGAUGUCAGGUAAGGGUACUGUGGAUAAAAAUCAACUUCUUAGUCAACUUAAAGAUAAAGGUACAAAAGAGGAUAAGCUUCGGCUUGCCAUAAUUUACCUGCUCUCCAUGGAGACAACCCCACAAUCAGAACUUGAAUCAAUAGAAGCGGCUUUGAGGGAGUCUGAAUUGGAUACUUGUGCAUUUCAGUAUGUGAAGAAGAUCAAAUCUUUGAACAUGUCAAUGAAUUCCUCUGUGGUCUCUGCCAGCAAGAGCAACAUUGUGGAUUGGGCUGAGAAGCUGUAUGGACAGUCCUUGAGUGCUGUGACUGCUGGUAUGAAGAAUCUGCUGUCAGGAGCGCGGCAACUAGCUCUUACAAGAAUAGUUGAAGCACUAAUGGAAGGGAAACCAAAUCCUGAAGUGGAUUCCUACCUAUUAUAUGAUCCUCGUGCACCAAGAUCCGGAACUGGAGCACAGUUGAAGGGUCCAUUUAAAGAAGGGAUUGUUUUCAUGAUAGGUGGAGGUAAUUUUGUAGAGUACAGGUGCUUGUUGGAGCUAGCACAGCGCUCACAGCCCACAAAGCAUAUCAUUUAUGGUACAACUGAAAUACUCAACGGUGUGGAUUUUGUUCAACAACUUCAAGUUUUGGGUCAAAAGAUGGGUUUAGGAAAUACUGGUAUAAACCCAUCCCAUUGAGAUAUGAGAAUUCACAUUUUGUUCGCCUUUUGGUUUUAUUGAUUGUGGUUGGAAGUUCAUAUAUUAUUGGAAAAUAUAAGUUAAUUUCUGGGCUAAGCAUAGUUGAAGUUCUGAAGGUGGCAUCAGGACUUUUUGGUCGAUGUUGAUUUCAGUUAGCAGCUUAUGCCUUGCCUUGCACCUACUUUUGAUCAUUUUAAGUGAAAUAUGGAAGCAUAGAGAUGUUCCAUAAAAGCCAUCUGACCAAGAGAUUGGUGGGCUCACAUGUAAGGCCUGGAGCAAUACGAAUU